AGAGUUUGAUCCUGGCUCAGAACGAACGCUGGCGGCAGGCUUAACACAUGCAAGUCGAACGGUCUCUUCGGAGGCAGUGGCAGACGGGUGAGUAACGCGUGGGAAUCUACCUAGUUCUACGGAACAACAGUUGGAAACGACUGCUAAUACCGUAUACGCCCUACGGGGGAAAGAUUUAUCGGAAUUAGAUGAGCCCGCGUAAGAUUAGCUAGUUGGUGGGGUAAUGGCCUACCAAGGCGACGAUCUUUAGCUGGUCUGAGAGGAUGAUCAGCCACACUGGGACUGAGACACGGCCCAGACUCCUACGGGAGGCAGCAGUGGGGAAUAUUGGACAAUGGGCGCAAGCCUGAUCCAGCCAUGCCGCGUGAGUGAUGAAGGCCUUAGGGUCGUAAAGCUCUUUCAGUGGGGAAGAUAAUGACGGUACCCACAGAAGAAGCCCCGGCUAACUUCGUGCCAGCAGCCGCGGUAAU
Molecule: ribosomal RNA, 470 nt
Filed under: uncultured bacterium
Lineage: Bacteria
Description: bacterial SSU rRNA
Rfam family: Bacterial small subunit ribosomal RNA
Source: RNAcentral